This 449-nucleotide ribosomal RNA is filed under the name uncultured bacterium. RNAcentral describes it as "bacterial SSU rRNA". It matches the Rfam family "Bacterial small subunit ribosomal RNA", at positions 422 to 879 of the family's 1533-position model. The record is from RNAcentral.
GUUGUAAACCUCUUUUAGUAGGGAAGAAGCGUAACAGUGACGGUACCUGCAGAAAAAGCACCGGCUAACUACGUGCCAGCAGCCGCGGUAAUACGUAGGGUGCAAGCGUUGUCCGGAAUUAUUGGGCGUAAAGAGCUCGUAGGCGGUUUGUCGCGUCUGCUGUGAAAACCCGAGGCUCAACCUCGGGCCUGCAGUGGGUACGGGCAGACUAGAGUGCGGUAGGGGAGAUUGGAAUUCCUGGUGUAGCGGUGGAAUGCGCAGAUAUCAGGAGGAACACCAAUGGCGAAGGCAGAUCUCUGGGCCGUAACUGACGCUGAGGAGCGGAAGCAUGGGGAGCGAACAGGAUUAGAUACCCUGGUAGUCCAUGCCGUAAACGUUGGGAACUAGAUGUGGGGACCAUUCCACGGUCCCCGUGUCGCAGCUAACGCAUUAAGUUCCCCGCCUGGGGA